AAUCGAACCCGGAGAUAGCUGGUUCUCCUCGAAAUAGCUUUAGGGCUAGCCUCGUUUUAGUCUUGUGGAGGUAGAGCACUGAAUUUCCGCGGGGGCGUCAAAGCUUACCAAAGAAUAUCAAACUCCGAAUGCCAUGUAGAUGAUGAUCGGGAGUCAGACUGCACGAGAUAAGUUGGGCAGUCAAAAGGGAAAGAGCCCAGACCUGCUGCUAAGGUCCCAAAGUACGUGUUAAGUGGAAAAGGAUGUGGGAUUUCGAAGACAACUAGGAUGUUGGCUCAGAAGCAGCCAUACAUUCAAAGAGUGCGUAACAGCUCACUAGUCGAGAGUUCCUGCGCCGAAAAUGUCCGGGGCUGAAACACGACACCGAAGCCGUGGACUCGCAAUGCGAGUGGUAGAGGAGCAUUCUUAAAACCGACGAAGCUGUACCGGAAGGAGCAGUGGAGGGAUAAGAAGAGAGAAUGCCGGAAUGAGUAGCGAGAGAAAGGUGGGAAUCCUUUCGGCCGAAUAUCUAAGGUUUCCAGAGUAAAGCUGAUCUGCUCUGGGUAAGUCGGGGCCUAAGCACAGGUCGCAAGACGUAAGCGAUGGAUAACAGGUUUAGAUUCCUGUACCACGCAUUAUCAGAACUGUAGGGACGCAUGUGGAAAGCACGGGCCGGGAAUGGAAAGACCGGUACAAGCGGGGUAGGUGUACAAUAGGCAAAUCCGUUGUAUGAUCCGAAGACGUGAUGUGGAGCGAAAUAAAGUAGUGAAGCGUGUGAGCCAUGUGCCGAGAAAAGCUGCUAUUGUGUAAUGCGUGCCCGUACCGUAAACCGACACAGGUGGAUGAGGAGAGAAUCCUAAGGCCGACGGAAGAAGCAUUGUUAAGGAACUCGGCAAAAUGACCCCGUAACUUCGGGAGAAGGGGUGCCUGCGAGAGCAGGCCGCAGAGAAUAGGCUCAAGCAACUGUUUAGCAAAAACACAGGUCUAUGCGAAACCGAAAGGUGAGGUAUAUGGGCUGACGCCUGCCCGGUGCUGGAAGGUUAAGAGGAGAGGUUAGCGCAAGCGAAGCUUUGAAUUUAAGCCCCAGUAAACGGCGGCCGUAACUAUAACGGUCCUAAGGUAGCGAAAUUCCUUGUCGGGUAAGUUCCGACCCGCACGAAAGGCGUAAUGAUUUGAGCACUGUCUCGACAAUGCAUCCGGUGAAAUUGAAGUACCAGUGAAGAUGCUGGUUACCUGCGCCAGGACGGAAAGACCCCAUGGAGCUUUACUCCAGCUUGAUACUGGGAUUCGGUAUUGCAUGUACAGGAUAGGUGGGAGGCUAGGAAGUGAUAACGCCAGUUGUCACGGAGCCGCUGUUGGGAUACCACCCUUGCAGUAUUGGAUUUCUAACCAGCGACCAUGAACUGGUCGGGGGACAAUGUCAGGUGGGGAGUUUGACUGGGGCGGUCGCCUCCGAAAGGGUAUCGGAGGCGCUCAAAGGUUCCCUCAGAAUGGUUGGAAACCAUUCGAAGAGUGCAAAGGCAGAAGGGAGCUUGACUGCGACACCGACGGGUGGAGCAGGUACGAAAGUAGGACUUAGUGAUCCGGUGGUAUAAAGUGGGAUUGCCAUCGCUCAACGGAUAAAAGCUACCCUGGGGAUAACAGGCUUAUCACUCCCAAGAGUUCACAUCGACGGAGUGGUUUGGCACCUCGAUGUCGGCUCAUCGCAUCCUGGGGCUGUAGUAGGUCCCAAGGGUUGGGCUGUUCGCCCAUUAAAGCGGUACGCGAGCUGGGUUCAGAACGUCGUGAGACAGUUCGGUCCCUAUCCGGCGUGGGCGUAGGAUAUCUGAGAGGAGCUGUCCUUAGUACGAGAGGACCGGGAUGGACGGACCGCUGGUGUACCGGUUGGACUGCCAAGUCUACGGCCGGGUAGCCAAGUCCGGAAGGGAUAAACGCUGAAGGCAUCUAAGCGUGAAGCCCCCCUCAAGAUGAGAUAUCCCAUUCGAAAGAAGUAAACCCCCUUGA
RNAcentral lists this ribosomal RNA (1983 nucleotides) under human gut metagenome. Its description in RNAcentral is "bacterial LSU rRNA". It matches the Rfam family "Bacterial large subunit ribosomal RNA", at positions 831 to 2841 of the family's 2925-position model. The record is from RNAcentral.